AGCUGGUCUGAGAGGAUGAUCAGCCACACCGGGACUGAGACACGGACCGGACUCCUACGGGAGGCAGCAGUGGGGAAUAUAGGACAAUGGGCGCAAGCCUGAUCCAGCAAUGCCGCGUGUGUGAAGAAGGACUGCGGGUUGUAAAGCACUUAUAUUGGGGAAGAGACGGCCUGGCUUAAUACGCCAUGGCAAUUGACGGUACCUAAGGAAUAAGCACCGCCUAACUCCGUGCCAGCACCCGCGGUAAUACGGAGGGUGCAAGCGUUAAUCGGAAUUACUGGGCGUAAAGCGUGCGUAGGCGGCUAUCUAAGUCGGAUGUGAAAGCCCCUGGGCUUAACCUGGGAACUGCAUUCGAUACUGGGGUAGCUAGAGUUUGGUAGAGGUAAGUGGAAUUCCAGGUGUAGCGGUGAAAUGCGUAGACAUCUGGAGGAACACCAGUGGCGAAGGCGGCUUACUGGACCAAAACUGACGCUGAGGUACGAAAGCGUGGGUAGCAAACAGGAUUAGAUACCCUGGUAGUCCACGCCCUAAACGAUGAGAACUAGUUGUUGGGAGCCUUAAUAGCUCUUAGUGACGAAGCUAACGCGUUAAGUUCUCCGCCUGGGGAGUACGGCCGCAAGGUUGAAACUCAAAGGAAUUGACGGGGGCCCGCACAAGCGGUGGAGCAUGUGGUUUAAUUCGAUGCAACGCGAAGAACCUUACCAGCCCUUGACAUCCUCGGAACUUACUAGAGAUAGUUUGGUGCCUUCGGGAACCGAGUGACAGGUGCUGCAUGGCUGUCGUCAGCUCGUGUCGUGAGAUGUUGGGUUAAGUCCCGCAACGAGCGCAACCCUUAUCCUUAGUUGCCAGCGAUUCGGUCGGGAACUCUAAGGAGACUGCCGGUGAUAAACCGGAGGAAGGUGGGGAUGACGUCAAGCCAUCAUGGCCCUUACGGGCUGGGCUACACACGUGCUACAAUGGUCGGUACAGAGGGCAGCAAACUCGCAAGAGCUAGCAAAUCCCACAAAGCCGAUCUUAGUCCGGAUCGCAGUCUGCAACUCGACUGCGUGAAGUCGGAAUCGCUAGUAAUCGUGGAUCAGCAUUGCCACGGUGAAUACGUUCCCGGGCCNUUGUACACACCGCCCGUCACACCAUGGGAGUUGGCUGCACCAGAAGCAGGUAGUCUAACCGUAAGGAGGACGCUUGCCACGGUGUGGUCAAUGACUGG
Molecule: ribosomal RNA, 1207 nt
Filed under: uncultured organism
Description: bacterial SSU rRNA
Rfam family: Bacterial small subunit ribosomal RNA
Source: RNAcentral